GUAACUGCGCCAUCAAAAUCGGAAACCUCCCCCUCCCCCUUCCCCAUAUCAACACAGUUCCCUUCCUCGUCUCGUAGGAUCCCUAUCUUGAGGAGAUCGAUCAUGGCCUGCCCUCCCUCCUGAGCCUCGUAGCUCACUCCGCCGAUUCAUUGAGGUCGAGGGCACAAGAGGCAUGUCUUGUUCACCAACUGGGACGGAAAGCAGACCAGUCCCCACCCCGAUUCAUAGAAACACAAGGUAAAUACUAGUACGACUUGACGAUUUUGCCUCCUCCCCCCUUGGUUCAGAUCUGUCCCUUCUAUGCUUUCUAAUUACUCUUCUCUUGUGUGAAUUUGAUAGUGCACACCAAGUGUUUGAUAGAUGUCCUCUGUUAGUGGUUUAGAAUUUUGGGGGCCUUUCAGAUAGAGGUGGUUGUUUCUGAUUCUUCUUCUAUAAGGUUACACCUUUCUUACUUGAUUGAGAUUAGAUUUUUAGGUUUUAUUCAUUAUAGUGCCCUGAUGCCUGUUUGUUUUGAUGUUCGUAGGUUUACUGAACAUAAGAGGUGGCUUAAAUCUAGUAACUGUUAAGGUUUCAGGUGUGGACGCAUGCAAUAUUUCAAUGUAGUUCUGCACCAUUACUACCUUGGUGAGUUCAAUCUCUUCAUAGACUUUCUUUAUGGUACUCCAAUUCUGACUAUCCUAUUCUAGUUGGGUAGUACAGUUGGGUUAGUUCUUGCCUAACAUUUUGUGGUUGAACACCUAGCAUAGUUUCUUUCUUUCUUCGUGUGUGUUCAGACGUUUGUGACCUUCUUAUUUUCUUAUUGCUAUCAUACUGUAUUCUGGCCGGGGUGUCAUUUGUACAAAAUGAACGAUGGAGUGACUAGAAGAAGUGUUAUCUUGGUCGUACCUAUGGACAAAUUGCAGUAAGUAUUUUGUCGACUAGUGAGGCCCUAAUAAAACAUUAAUUUUAUUAUGAAUAUCAGAACAUGAUCUGCAGCAGCACAACUACAAGUCCAGUCUACAUAACCACACACUUGUUCUGAAAAUAAAUGUUAGUGAGCAACCAUGUGCACGAUAGUGAAAACACAUGUAUACUCUACAACACACUCAGCCUUGGCCCAUGGGAUCUCCCCACAGUUCCAACUUGAAAAUAACAUCUCAUCAGCCUAGCUAUAAUUCUUGUGCAUGAACGAAACCUCCUUAACAUCAAAGAGAAUGAACUUGGGUGUCCUUGAGCUUAUGAUCCUCUUACUAUCUGUGGAUAUUGUUAUACCUGAACAUGUGUUCCCCCCUGCAAACACCAUGUUAAGAAUCAUACCACGCAAGUACAAGUUCAUCUUCCGUAAGCAACUGAAAUAGAUCAACAGUUAAACUACUAGUAUUGAAAGAUAACUGCAUUUUAUUCAUAGUAAUGUUCCCAGCAUAGAAAAAAAACUAAAAAGCAUGGGGUCAUCGAAAGAGCUGGUAUACGGAGUUUCAUUUUGUUACUUGUUGUGUUUCUUAUACACUCGAUGAACAAAAUAAUGGAUCCCUUGCAAAAUUACAUUUCAGAGUAACAGUUUCAUGUCUUAGUUUAUCGUUUUCACUAUGAAAUAGGAAUAGCUUGAUGUAUUCCUAGUACCUACUCAGUACUGAGUGAGUCUCUAUUUUGAUUUGAUAAGGAAUAAAUGUGGCCACACUUAUUUUGUUGAUUGUAGGGGCAGAAAUUACUUCAAAAUAUGAUUGUUUGAGCUGAAAUCUGGAUUAAUCGUCUUCACAUCUGUGGGGAUGACUGUCAUAAGGUCGAGUAGGACCACAGAAUAUUGUCUUUUACAUAAUUUAUUUAAACCUUUGGUCAUUGUCAUGUUGCAGCAGAUAUGUAGUGGAAAAGAAUUUCAGUGCACGGUGAAGGGAAAUAUAUUCUGCUGCACAUAAAGUAUAUUUUCAUUAUCAUACACAAUAUGUUCAAAAUAUGUUGCUCCAAUGGUUAUGUAUAUACUGGUCGUCUUGCUAUCAGAAUGCUGUUAACAACAAGAAUGUUAGUGCAUGUCAGGGAGAAAAAACGUCUAUUUCAAACAAGCAGUAUCCUUUCAUAAUCACAUAAAUUUUUUGUUCUGACUAUAGUGGCUUGUUUAGUUGUUUAUUACUUAUUCUUUGCUAUCGGCCUGUUGUCCAAACCACAAAAACAACAUAAGGUACUAAUGCAUGCUGUAAGAGUGCUCUAAGUGGUUCCCUGAGUUGGAUGGAUGCCAAUGAACUACCUGUUGUGCUCAAAUUCAUUUCAUAUGUUCCCCUGUUUUGUUUCUGUCUUCUCAUAUGGCAACUUUUAUUUUUUCUAACAGGCAGGAACUAAAGUAUUCUUGAAGAGCCUGAAAAAUCAUAAUAAGGGUGUAGCUCUAGAUACAAUGGUAAGUUCUGAUCCUAAAUUUAAACUUGAUGGUCCUGAAAUUAGAAAUGAAUUAUGGGCAGUGCAUGUUGAUAUGGCACUAGUGCAAACUGAAAAUUUGGUAUGAAGUCGCAAAAACUGCAAUACUCUCGGUAAUGCAUAAAAAGAAAAGAUUGCAUGGCCUUCAACCUUUGUACGUGACUAAUAUUUGCUUAUAUUACUACUUGCAUCAUGUCAAGGUAUUAUGUGUUAACAGUUCAUUUUUGUUUUCUUAUUUGUAGAUUCAAAAGAUAAAUGGAUGAGUAUAUGGGAGCGUGGCGAUUAUACUGCAAUGAUGAUGUCGAUGAUCCGUUUCAUGAUGAUUAUGAUGACGGAUGCAUUUAGUUUUAGUUAUAUUGUAGGGAUGACGUUCCUGUCGAAUGUUGUUCCUCAGUUAAGAUGGAUAUUUUCAGUUUAAGUUUCGCUGUCAAGAAAAUUGUUAGAUUAUGCAUCACAUUUGGAUGAUGUUCCUCCUGUAAUAUCCACUAUUGUAAUCCAACAGUUUUGAUCUAAUAUAUGAUUUCUUCCUCUCGUGAGUAUAUUGUCUUGUUUUUCGUUCACUUGAAAUAUAUAAUUAUCGCCUUU
This 2967-nucleotide long non-coding RNA is filed under the name Triticum aestivum (bread wheat). Its description in RNAcentral is "long non-coding RNA (TAES_LNC026261)". Lineage: Eukaryota; Viridiplantae; Streptophyta; Magnoliopsida; Poales; Poaceae. The record is from RNAcentral.